Molecule: ribosomal RNA, 1411 nt
Filed under: Salmonella enterica
Lineage: Bacteria; Pseudomonadati; Pseudomonadota; Gammaproteobacteria; Enterobacterales; Enterobacteriaceae
Description: bacterial SSU rRNA
Rfam family: Bacterial small subunit ribosomal RNA
Source: RNAcentral
ACGCCUAACAAUGCAAGUCGAACGGUAACAGGAAGCAGCUUGCUGCUUUGCUGACGAGUGGCGGACGGGUGAGUAAUGUCUGGGAAACUGCCUGAUGGAGGGGGAUAACUACUGGAAACGGUGGCUAAUACCGCAUAACGUCGCAAGACCAAAGAGGGGGAACCUUCGGGCCUCUUGCCAUCAGAUGUGCCCAGAUGGGAUUAGCUUGUUGGUGAGGUAACGGCUCACCAAGGCGACGAUCCCUAGCUGGUCUGAGAGGAUGACCAGCCACACUGGAACUGAGACACGGUCCAGACUCCUACGGGAGGCAGCAGUGGGGAAUAUUGCACAAUGGGCGCAAGCCUGAUGCAGCCAUGCCGCGUGUAUGAAGAAGGCCUUCGGGUUGUAAAGUACUUUCAGCGGGGAGGAAGGUGUUGCGGUUAAUAACCGCAGCAAUUGACGUUACCCGCAGAAGAAGCACCGGCUAACUCCGUGCCAGCAGCCGCGGUAAUACGGAGGGUGCAAGCGUUAAUCGGAAUUACUGGGCGUAAAGCGCACGCAGGCGGUCUGUCAAGUCGGAUGUGAAAUCCCCGGGCUCAACCUGGGAACUGCAUUCGAAACUGGCAGGCUUGAGUCUUGUAGAGGGGGGUAGAAUUCCAGGUGUAGCGGUGAAAUGCGUAGAGAUCUGGAGGAAUACCGGUGGCGAAGGCGGCCCCCUGGACAAAGACUGACGCUCAGGUGCGAAAGCGUGGGGAGCAAACAGGAUUAGAUACCCUGGUAGUCCACGCCGUAAACGAUGUCUACUUGGAGGUUGUGCCCUUGAGGCGUGGCUUCCGGAGCUAACGCGUUAAGUAGACCGCCUGGGGAGUACGGCCGCAAGGUUAAAACUCAAAUGAAUUGACGGGGGCCCGCACAAGCGGUGGAGCAUGUGGUUUAAUUCGAUGCAACGCGAAGAACCUUACCUGGUCUUGACAUCCACAGAAGAAUCCAGAGAUGGAUUUGUGCCUUCGGGAACUGUGAGACAGGUGCUGCAUGGCUGUCGUCAGCUCGUGUUGUGAAAUGUUGGGUUAAGUCCCGCAACGAGCGCAACCCUUAUCCUUUGUUGCCAGCGGUCCGGCCGGGAACUCAAAGGAGACUGCCAGUGAUAAACUGGAGGAAGGUGGGGAUGACGUCAAGUCAUCAUGGCCCUUACGACCAGGGCUACACACGUGCUACAAUGGCGCAUACAAAGAGAAGCGACCUCGCGAGAGCAAGCGGACCUCAUAAAGUGCGUCGUAGUCCGGAUUGGAGUCUGCAACUCGACUCCAUGAAGUCGGAAUCGCUAGUAAUCGUGGAUCAGAAUGCCACGGUGAAUACGUUCCCGGGCCUUGUACACACCGCCCGUCACACCAUGGGAGUGGGUUGCAAAAGAAGUAGGUAGCUUAACCCCGGG